Engraulis encrasicolus (European anchovy) is the source of this 411-nucleotide long non-coding RNA. RefSeq lists it as uncharacterized. The record is from RefSeq and is a predicted model, not a curated record. NCBI's taxonomy places the organism in Eukaryota, Metazoa, Chordata, Actinopteri, Clupeiformes, Engraulidae. The transcript is spliced from 3 exons.
UGGCUGUGGGCUCACUGCACAGAGCUGUGAAACACUAGCAUCCAUCCUCUGCAAAGAAUCAUCAAAGCUCAGAAAACUGGAUCUUAGUGACAACUGCAUUGGAGACAAAGGCGUCGAGCAGCUGUGUAAUGGACUGAGGAAGUCAUAUGCCCUGAAAACUCUGAGGUUGUCAGACUGCGGUGUAAAAGAACAAGGAUAUGCUGCUCUGGCCACAGCUCUCAAAUCUAAACCCACACAACUGGAGGAACUGGACUUGAGGAGAAACAACCCUGGAGAUUCUGGAGUGAAGCUCCUCACUUCGGUACUGAGCAAUCACAAAUGCACACUAAGGUUGUUGAAAAGUGAUGCCUCAGAGAAAGCCCAUGGAUAUUUGAGUUCAGUUCUGGGUACAAGCCCCUUACUCCUGACUGA